UACGUAGGGACCAAGCGUUGUCCGGAAUCAUUGGGCGUAAAGGGUGCGUAGGCGGCGCGGUAAGUCGGGUGUGAAAUCUCGGGGCUUAACUCCGAAACUGCAUUCGAUACUGCCGUGCUUGAGGACUGGAGAGGAGACUGGAAUUUACGGUGUAGCGGUGAAAUGCGUAGAUAUCGUAAGGAAGACCAGUGGCGAAGGCGGGUCUCUGGACAGUUCCUGACGCUGAAGCACGAAGGCCAGGGGAGCAAACGGG
Molecule: ribosomal RNA, 253 nt
Filed under: uncultured bacterium
Lineage: Bacteria
Description: partial 16S ribosomal RNA
Rfam family: Bacterial small subunit ribosomal RNA
Source: RNAcentral